CAAAACUGACAGCGGGGGGCUGGCCAUUUCAGGUUGGUGGCCUUUUGAGCAGUCGCCCAGAACCAACUCAUGGCCCAUCCAGACACAUAACCUGCAAUACAGACUGACUGCCCUGUUCUUGCAUUAUACCCUUAGUGACAAUGGGGCAGGGCCUGUUUGAUACAGGAUCAAAGCAUUCAGGGGGCAAAUGCCAUCAUGCCCCAUUGCCAUUCCCCCCCAUUGUGGCACGGCAGUUAUGUACUCUCUCUCUGCUUUGGGUCUUGGUACUUUGGUUCUUCAUACAAUGCGGUAGGGCUGCCACUUCCAACCUAAGUAUGGAACGUUUCCACAUCUGCCUUGGAUGGUUUUGCAACAAGUUGAAGUACCCACCUUGGGGGCAUUAGAAAACAUUGAUUACUUAUGAAUGGGGCAAUACAGAUUGAACUUUUAAAUGCCAUAGAACCAGUGGGUAUAAAUGAAGCCUGAAAUGUUUCAACUGAUACUAUUUUCCUUCACUGAUGCACUUUAGCCUUUGGGCUUGUUACUCAAUGGGCAAUGUCACUACUGGGCAAUGGUACAAGCAGUAUGGUAGGUGCCGGAUUUCUCUCAUAUGAAUGGCUUAUUAAUCUGAUGAGGUAUGUGUUAUUAAGUUAAUCUAAAGGUAAAACCAUUGGUGAGAAUAGUGCACACACCCGGCCAAUAGAAAAUGCUGCUGUUGUAAGUCACAUGGUGGGUGGGGGGGGAAUAAUAUGUGGAACUUUACUUUGUGUCAUGUAAACUGCACCAGAAGGACCUGUGUGGCCGGAAACAUACGGAGAAUCUCAAAUUGCUGUUUGGCUCUUCAGUGGAUUCUUCAAGGUUUGUACCGAUCGUUCCCUGGGUGUCUCUUCCCAAGCUCAUUCCCAUCUCCCACACCCUGGCCCUGGGGCAGCAAGCUAUGGGAUUGGGUGUGUAUAAUGUAUAAUAUCCCCCUGUAUUGCCCCUCAGUGCCCAUGGAUAGCACCGGCUCCUACUGCCCCGGCACAGUAACGGCCAAACCCCCGAGCACAGCGAUAGCCCCGGUCCUGUAGGGGAGAUGGGUCCCACUUGUACAAUGUUGGCCCUGAUAUGGGAGGAGCUAUAGAUCUGAGGUCACAGUGAGGCGGGGCAAAAACACUGGGUCUUUCAAAGGGUUGUUUUCUGUUGUGAGUGGGAACUCAGGACUAAAACUCGAUCCACUAGUUUUGGUCUAUACAGUAAGGGGUCACAAUAUGGCCGCUCUGUGGGGUUUUUGUUUUGCCAAAUGCAGUGUUUAUUCUUUCUAAUUCCUAUUUAGGGGAGAUUCAAGGCUUCAGAGUCAAAGCUCCAUAGGCAAAACCUUCAUGUGCAAUGGAAGCGGAGACAACGUUGAGUUCAACCAAUAACGAUGAUGAAGCUCCAGUUGCACGUCUGGGCCCAGUGGCAACGCAACAAUCACAGUACUAGCCAUUCAGCUUUGAUACAUGCUACCUGGCUCUGACGGGCGGGUCGAGUGACCAAUGGGGGGGCUCAUCAUCAGGUCUCAGCGUAUGACUGCGCUUUGCAUUUCUAUUUGUUUUUUUGUCAUUUUUGGGUCCCAGAUUUUUUUUCUUUUUAAAGUUGAGCUGUGACUUCUUUUUGCGCCAAAUAAAGCGAUGUUUCUAUUUUAACUCAAGGCUUCUAUCUGGCCCAUAUCAGUCCCUGCCCCAGUGGGGCUUGCAG
Xenopus tropicalis (tropical clawed frog) is the source of this 1698-nucleotide long non-coding RNA. RefSeq lists it as uncharacterized. NCBI's taxonomy places the organism in Eukaryota, Metazoa, Chordata, Amphibia, Anura, Pipidae. The transcript has 2 exons. The record is from RefSeq and is a predicted model, not a curated record.